CGUAACAAGGUUUCCGUAGGUGAACCUGCGGAAGGAUCAUUAUCUAUAACCGGGUGUGGCUGCGGCCUCCGGGGGCGUGGGCGUCGAGAUGAUGCCCUCUCUUCCGGGUGGUAGAGGUAAAACUCUCACGCGCCACAUGUCUGAAUCCUUUUUUUACGAGCACCUUUCGUUCUCCUUCGGUGGGGUGACCUGCCGUUGGAACCCAUCAAAACUCUUUUUGCAUCUAGCAUUACCUGUUCUGAUACAAACAAUCGUUACAACUUUCAACAAUGGAUCUCUUGGCUCUGGCAUCGAUGAAGAACGCAGCGAAAUGCGAUAAGUAGUGUGAAUUGCAGAAUUCAGUGAAUCAUCGAAUCUUUGAACGCACAUUGCGCCCCUUGGUAUUCCAUGGGGCAUGCCUGUUCGAGCGUCAUCUACACCCUCAAGCUCUGCUUGGUGUUGGGCGUCUGUCCCGCCUACGUGCGCGGACUCGCCCCAAAUUCAUUGGCAGCGGUCCUUGCCUCCUCUCGCGCAGCACAUUGCGCUUCUCGAGGUGCGCGGCCCGCGUCCACGAAGCAACAUUACCGUCUUUGACCUCGGAUCAGGUAGGGAUACCCGCUGAACUUAA
RNAcentral lists this ribosomal RNA (607 nucleotides) under Paraconiothyrium archidendri. RNAcentral's name for it is "eukaryotic LSU rRNA". The stretch from base 259 to 412 matches the Rfam family "5.8S ribosomal RNA". Lineage: Eukaryota; Fungi; Ascomycota; Dothideomycetes; Pleosporales; Didymosphaeriaceae. The record is from RNAcentral.